RNAcentral lists this ribosomal RNA (256 nucleotides) under uncultured archaeon. RNAcentral describes it as "partial 16S ribosomal RNA". It matches the Rfam family "Bacterial small subunit ribosomal RNA", at positions 521 to 776 of the family's 1533-position model. The record is from RNAcentral.
UAAGACAGAGGGGGCUAGCGUUGUUCGGAAUUACUGGGCGUAAAGGGCGCGUAGGCGGCUAUAUAAGUCAGGGGUGAAAGCCUGGGGCUCAACCCCAGAACUGCCUUUGAUACUGUAUAGCUAGAGGUCUGAAGAGGAUAGUGGAAUUCCUAGUGUAGAGGUGAAAUUCGUAGAUAUUAGGAGGAACACCAGUGGCGAAGGCGACUGUCUGGUCAGAUUCUGACGCUGAGGCGCGAAAGCGUGGGGAGCAAACAGG